This 75-nucleotide transfer RNA is filed under the name Thermotoga sp. RNAcentral's name for it is "tRNA-Val". It matches the Rfam family "tRNA". Rfam says of the family: Transfer RNA (tRNA) molecules are approximately 80 nucleotides in length. Their secondary structure includes four short double-helical elements and three loops (D, anti-codon, and T loops). Further hydrogen bonds mediate the characteristic L-shaped molecular structure. tRNAs have two regions of fundamental functional importance: the anti-codon, which is responsible for specific mRNA codon recognition, and the 3' end, to which the tRNAs corresponding amino acid is attached (by aminoacyl-tRNA synthetases). tRNAs cope with the degeneracy of the genetic code in two manners: having more than one tRNA (with a specific anti-codon) for a particular amino acid; and 'wobble' base-pairing, i.e. permitting non-standard base-pairing at the 3rd anti-codon position. The record is from RNAcentral. Lineage: Bacteria; Thermotogati; Thermotogota; Thermotogae; Thermotogales; Thermotogaceae. RNAcentral also lists the same sequence under 2 other names.
GGGUGCGUAGCUCAGUGGGAGAGCGCUUCCCUGACGCGGAAGAGGCCACAAGUUCGACCCUUGUCGCACCCACCA